RNAcentral lists this ribosomal RNA (677 nucleotides) under uncultured archaeon. Its description in RNAcentral is "bacterial SSU rRNA". It matches the Rfam family "Archaeal small subunit ribosomal RNA", at positions 321 to 999 of the family's 1478-position model. The record is from RNAcentral.
CCCUAUGGGGUGCAGCAGGCGAGAAAACUUUGCAAUGUGCGAAAGCACGACAAGGUUAAUCCGAGUGUUUUCUGCUAAAGAAAUCUUUUGUCAGUCCUAAAAACACUGAUGAAUGAGGGGUGGGCAAGUUCUGGUGUCAGCCGCCGCGGUAAAACCAGCACCUCAAGUGGUCAGGAGGAUUAUUGGGCCUAAAGCAUCCGUAGCCUGCUUUGUAAGUUUUCGGUUAAAUCCAUGUGCUCAACAUAUGGGCUGCCGGGAAUACUGCACAGCUAGGGAGUGGGAGAGGUAGACGGUACUCGGUAGGAAGGGGUAAAAUCCUUUGAUCUAUUGAUGACCACCUGUGGCGAAGGCGGUCUACCAGAACACGUCCGACGGUGAGGGAUGAAAGCUGGGGGAGCAAACCGGAUUAGAUACCCGGGUAGUCCCAGCUGUAAACUAUGCAAACUCAGUGAUGCGUUGGCUUGUAGCCAGUGCAGUGCCGCAGGGAAGCCGUUAAGUUUGCCGCCUGGGAAGUACGUACGCAAGUAUGAAACUUAAAGGAAUUGGCGGGGGAGCACCACAAGGGGUGAAGCCUGCGGUUCAAUUGGAGUCAACGCCAGAAAUCUUACCCGGAGAGACAGCAGAAUGAAGGUCAAGCUGAAGACUUUACCAGACAAGCUGAGAAGUGGUGCAUGGCC